This 1522-nucleotide ribosomal RNA is filed under the name Escherichia coli. RNAcentral describes it as "partial 23S ribosomal RNA". It matches the Rfam family "Bacterial large subunit ribosomal RNA", at positions 1291 to 2798 of the family's 2925-position model. Lineage: Bacteria; Pseudomonadati; Pseudomonadota; Gammaproteobacteria; Enterobacterales; Enterobacteriaceae. The record is from RNAcentral.
CGAAUGCUGACAUAAGUAACGAUAAAGCGGGUGAAAAGCCCGCUCGCCGGAAGACCAAGGGUUCCUGUCCAACGUUAAUCGGGGCAGGGUGAGUCGACCCCUAAGGCGAGGCCGAAAGGCGUAGUCGAUGGGAAACAGGUUAAUAUUCCUGUACUUGGUGUUACUGCGAAGGGGGGACGGAGAAGGCUAUGUUGGCCGGGCGACGGUUGUCCCGGUUUAAGCGUGUAGGCUGGUUUUCCAGGCAAAUCCGGAAAAUCAAGGCUGAGGCGUGAUGACGAGGCACUACGGUGCUGAAGCAACAAAUGCCCUGCUUCCAGGAAAAGCCUCUAAGCAUCAGGUAACAUCAAAUCGUACCCCAAACCGACACAGGUGGUCAGGUAGAGAAUACCAAGGCGUUUGAGAGAACUCGGGUGAAGGAACUAGGCAAAAUGGUGCCGUAACUUCGGGAGAAGGCACGCUGAUAUGUAGGUGAAGUCCCUCGCGGAUGGAGCUGAAAUCAGUCGAAGAUACCAGCUGGCUGCAACUGUUUAUUAAAAACACAGCACUGUGCAAACACGAAAGUGGACGUAUACGGUGUGACGCCUGCCCGGUGCCGGAAGGUUAAUUGAUGGGGUCAGCGCAAGCGAAGCUCUUGAUCGAAGCCCCGGUAAACGGCGGCCGUAACUAUAACGGUCCUAAGGUAGCGAAAUUCCUUGUCGGGUAAGUUCCGACCUGCACGAAUGGCGUAAUGAUGGCCAGGCUGUCUCCACCCGAGACUCAGUGAAAUUGAACUCGCUGUGAAGAUGCAGUGUACCCGCGGCAAGACGGAAAGACCCCGUGAACCUUUACUAUAGCUUGACACUGAACAUUGAGCCUUGAUGUGUAGGAUAGGUGGGAGGCUUUGAAGUGUGGACGCCAGUCUGCAUGGAGCCGACCUUGAAAUACCACCCUUUAAUGUUUGAUGUUCUAACGUGGACCCGUAAUCCGGGUUGCGGACAGUGUCUGGUGGGUAGUUUGACUGGGGCGGUCUCCUCCUAAAGAGUAACGGAGGAGCACGAAGGUUGGCUAAUCCUGGUCGGACAUCAGGAGGUUAGUGCAAUGGCAUAAGCCAGCUUGACUGCGAGCGUGACGGCGCGAGCAGGUGCGAAAGCAGGUCAUAGUGAUCCGGUGGUUCUGAAUGGAAGGGCCAUCGCUCAACGGAUAAAAGGUACUCCGGGGAUAACAGGCUGAUACCGCCCAAGAGUUCAUAUCGACGGCGGUGUUUGGCACCUCGAUGUCGGCUCAUCACAUCCUGGGGCUGAAGUAGGUCCCAAGGGUAUGGCUGUUCGCCAUUUAAAGUGGUACGCGAGCUGGGUUUAGAACGUCGUGAGACAGUUCGGUCCCUAUCUGCCGUGGGCGCUGGAGAACUGAGGGGGGCUGCUCCUAGUACGAGAGGACCGGAGUGGACGCAUCACUGGUGUUCGGGUUGUCAUGCCAAUGGCACUGCCCGGUAGCUAAAUGCGGAAGAGAUAAGUGCUGAAAGCAUCUAAGCACGAAACUUGCC